GGUUCCUACGGGGGGCAGCAGUAGGGAAUCUUCCACAAUGGACGAAAGUCUGAUGGAGCAACGCCGCGUGAGUGAAGAAGGGUUUCGGCUCGUAAAGCUCUGUUGGGAGUGAAGAAAGAUAGAGGUAGUAACUGGCCUUUAUUUGACGGUAAUUACUUAGAAAGUCACGGCUAACUACGUGCCAGCAGCCGCGGUAAUACGUAGGUGGCAAUCGUUGUCCGGAUUUACUGGGUGUAAAGGGCGCGGAGGCGGGUGUGCAAGUCAGUCG
Molecule: ribosomal RNA, 268 nt
Filed under: uncultured bacterium
Lineage: Bacteria
Description: partial 16S ribosomal RNA
Rfam family: Bacterial small subunit ribosomal RNA
Source: RNAcentral